GGGGGUGAAAAGGUUUCGACGGGAUUGGUGUGGGAUUGUCGGCGUGCCGAGGGACUCCGGAUUUCUCGUUAAACAUCCGGUACCACACAACAAAUGGCGAAUACAAUUACGCCAUGGCUGCCUAAUUAGUUAGGCGCCCGUUCCACCGGGCUGUCGCCUUUCCGGUCCGGCUGGGGCGUCGGUAAGGAAGGCUCGGUUUGCCGAACGCCUUUACGGCGAACUUAAAGAUAAAGGCUGGUUGGCUUCCUGGCCUGCCGCUCGGCAGGGGAGCUGAUGAGAUUUUAUAGAGUCGGCUACGCACGUAGAAGAUGAUCUGGUGCCCUUUUCGGACGGGGGUUCGAUUCCCCCCACCUCCAUUU
This 359-nucleotide transfer-messenger RNA is filed under the name bacterium. RNAcentral's name for it is "JAFGAL01 sp020343475 Standard tmRNA". It matches the Rfam family "transfer-messenger RNA". Rfam says of the family: Bacterial tmRNA, also known as 10Sa RNA or SsrA, is named for its dual tRNA and mRNA-like properties. Its role is to liberate the mRNA from a stalled ribosome. RNAcentral also lists the same sequence under 1 other name. The record is from RNAcentral.